AAUAAGAUCAUUUUUCAGUUUUUUGAUACAAUGUUUUAACUCUUCGUCUUGUUUGAAUUUUUUAUGAUUAAUAUGUUUAUUCUUACUAGAUGAUAAAACAUAAAUAGUACUUUAUGCGUGACUAAUUUUUUAAAGUUUUUUUACAAUUUUUUUAAAUAAGACGAAUGGUCAAAUAUUGACACGGAAAAAC
Molecule: microRNA precursor, 190 nt
Filed under: Oryza brachyantha (malo sina)
Lineage: Eukaryota; Viridiplantae; Streptophyta; Magnoliopsida; Poales; Poaceae
Description: MIR812 microRNA precursor family
Rfam family: MIR812 microRNA precursor family
Source: Rfam by way of RNAcentral